RNAcentral lists this ribosomal RNA (351 nucleotides) under uncultured bacterium. RNAcentral describes it as "bacterial SSU rRNA". It matches the Rfam family "Bacterial small subunit ribosomal RNA", at positions 60 to 438 of the family's 1533-position model. The record is from RNAcentral.
AGUCGAACGCGGUUUUUCGGAACUGAGUGGCGGACGGGUGAGUAACACGUGAGAAUCUGGCUUCAGGAUGGGGAUAACAGCGGGAAACUGCUGCUAAUACCCGAUGUGCCGAGAGGUGAAAGAUUUAUCGCCUGAAGAUGAGCUCGCGACUGAUUAGCUAGUUGGUGGGGUAAGAGCCUACCAAGGCAACGAUCAGUAGCUGGUCUGAGAGGAUGACCAGCCACACUGGGACUGAGACACGGCCCAGACUCCUACGGGAGGCAGCAGUGGGGAAUUUUCCGCAAUGGGCGCAAGCCUGACGGAGCAAUACCGCGUGGGGGAGGAAGGCCUUUGGGUUGUAAACCCCUUUUG